GGAUAUCCCCAAUUGAAAAACACAACUUUUAAAAAAAAUCAUGAAGGUUGUUACAUCAUUCACCACUUAAAUAUUUGUUCAUCUUUGAACAGGUAGGAAAAGUACCAAACUGUCAAGCAACUACAAAUACCCAUAAUAGCCCUGCAUGCUAGCUUUCCCAAGCAAAGCAUACACCUAUAGUACUGCUAGUUCACCCUAAAUAUUAGAAUCC
RNAcentral lists this long non-coding RNA (211 nucleotides) under Capsicum annuum. RNAcentral's name for it is "long non-coding RNA (CANN_LNC009640)". Lineage: Eukaryota; Viridiplantae; Streptophyta; Magnoliopsida; Solanales; Solanaceae. The record is from RNAcentral.